GGGAUACAGCUCAGUUGGUAGAGUGCUUGCCUUGUAUGCAUGAGGCCCUGGGUUCAAUCCCCAGUACCACCA
This 72-nucleotide transfer RNA is filed under the name Marmota monax (woodchuck). RNAcentral describes it as "tRNA.Thr". It matches the Rfam family "tRNA". Rfam says of the family: Transfer RNA (tRNA) molecules are approximately 80 nucleotides in length. The record is from RNAcentral. Lineage: Eukaryota; Metazoa; Chordata; Mammalia; Rodentia; Sciuridae.